GGUUAAGCGACUAAGCGUACACGGUGGAUGCCUAGGCAGUCAGAGGCGAUGAAGGGCGUGCUAAUCUGCGAAAAGCGUCGGUAAG
This 85-nucleotide ribosomal RNA is filed under the name Yersinia enterocolitica. RNAcentral's name for it is "partial 23S ribosomal RNA". It matches the Rfam family "Bacterial large subunit ribosomal RNA", at positions 1 to 85 of the family's 2925-position model. Lineage: Bacteria; Pseudomonadati; Pseudomonadota; Gammaproteobacteria; Enterobacterales; Yersiniaceae. The record is from RNAcentral. RNAcentral also lists the same sequence under 1 other name.